UAGUGUUAUAGCUCUUUUAGAAUUUGUUUAGCACGUUUCCUGUUUUCACUGGAAAACUCUC
Molecule: non-coding RNA, 61 nt
Organism: Callithrix jacchus (white-tufted-ear marmoset)
Lineage: Eukaryota; Metazoa; Chordata; Mammalia; Primates; Cebidae
Source: Rfam